AGUGAACGCUGGCGGUAGGCCUAACACAUGCAAGUCGAACGGCAGCACAGUAAGAGCUUGCUCUUACGGGUGGCGAGUGGCGGACGGGUGAGGAAUACAUCGGAAUCUACUUUUUCGUGGGGGAUAACGUAGGGAAACUUACGCUAAUACCGCAUACGACCUACGGGUGAAAGCAGGGGAUCUUCGGACCUUGCGCGAUUGAAUGAGCCGAUGUCGGAUUAGCUAGUUGGCGGGGUAAAGGCCCACCAAGGCGACGAUCCGUAGCUGGUCUGAGAGGAUGAUCAGCCACACUGGAACUGAGACACGGUCCAGACUCCUACGGGAGGCAGCAGUGGGGAAUAUUGGACAAUGGGUGCAAGCCUGAUCCAGCCAUACCGCGUGGGUGAAGAAGGCCUUCGGGUUGUAAAGCCCUUUUGUUGGGAAAGAAAAGCAGCGGGUUAAUACCCCGCUGUUCUGACGGUACCCAAAGAAUAAGCACCGGCUAACUUCGUG
Molecule: ribosomal RNA, 492 nt
Filed under: uncultured bacterium
Lineage: Bacteria
Description: partial 16S ribosomal RNA
Rfam family: Bacterial small subunit ribosomal RNA
Source: RNAcentral